This 484-nucleotide ribosomal RNA is filed under the name uncultured bacterium. Its description in RNAcentral is "partial 16S ribosomal RNA". It matches the Rfam family "Bacterial small subunit ribosomal RNA", at positions 30 to 507 of the family's 1533-position model. The record is from RNAcentral.
AUUGAACGCUGGCGGCAGGCCUAACACAUGCCAGUCGAGCGGAUGAAGGGAGCUUGCUCCUGGAUUCAGCGGCGGACGGGUGAGUAAUGCCUAGGAAUCUGCCUGGUAGUGGGGGAUAACGUCCGGAAACGGGCGCUAAUACCGCAUACGUCCUGCGGGAGCAAGUGGGUGAGCUUCGGACCUCACGCUAUCAGAUGAGCCUAGGUCGGAUUAGCUAGUUGGUGGGGUAAAGGCCUACCAAGGCGACGAUCCGUAACUGGUCUGAGAGGAUGAUCAGUCACACUGGAACUGAGACACGGUCCAUACUCCUGCGGGAGGCAGCAGUGGGGAAUAUUGGACAGUGGGCGAAAGCCUGAUCCAGCCAGGCCGCGUGUGUGAAGAAGGUCUUCGGAUUGUAAAGCACUUUAAGUGGGGAGGAAGGGCAGUAAGUUAAUACCUUGCUGUUUUGACGGUACCAACAGAAUAAGCACCGGCUAACUUCGUG